GCUCCUACGGGAGGCAGCAGUAGGGAAUUUUCGGCAAGGGGGAAACCCUGACCGAGCAACGCCGCGUGAGCGAAGAAGGCCUUCGGGUCGUAAAGCUCUGUUGUAAAGGAAGAACGGCGCAUACAGGAAAUGGUAUGCGAGUGACGGUACUUUACCAGAAAGCCACGGCUAACUACGUGC
This 180-nucleotide ribosomal RNA is filed under the name uncultured bacterium. RNAcentral describes it as "partial 16S ribosomal RNA". It matches the Rfam family "Bacterial small subunit ribosomal RNA", at positions 335 to 508 of the family's 1533-position model. The record is from RNAcentral.